This 1208-nucleotide ribosomal RNA is filed under the name Staphylococcus epidermidis. RNAcentral's name for it is "bacterial SSU rRNA". It matches the Rfam family "Bacterial small subunit ribosomal RNA", at positions 34 to 1225 of the family's 1533-position model. Lineage: Bacteria; Bacillati; Bacillota; Bacilli; Caryophanales; Staphylococcaceae. The record is from RNAcentral.
GGCUGGCGGCGUGCUAUACAUGCAAGUCGAGCGAACAGACGAGGAGCUUGCUCCUCUGACGUUAGCGGCGGACGGGUGAGUAACACGUGGAUAACCUACCUAUAAGACUGGGAUAACUUCGGGAAACCGGAGCUAAUACCGGAUAAUAUAUUGAACCGCAUGGUUCAAUAGUGAAAGACGGUUUUGCUGUCACUUAUAGAUGGAUCCGCGCCGCAUUAGCUAGUUGGUAAGGUAACGGCUUACCAAGGCAACGAUGCGUAGCCGACCUGAGAGGGUGAUCGGCCACACUGGAACUGAGACACGGUCCAGACUCCUACGGGAGGCAGCAGUAGGGAAUCUUCCGCAAUGGGCGAAAGCCUGACGGAGCAACGCCGCGUGAGUGAUGAAGGUCUUCGGAUCGUAAAACUCUGUUAUUAGGGAAGAACAAAUGUGUAAGUAACUAUGCACGUCUUGACGGUACCUAAUCAGAAAGCCACGGCUAACUACGUGCCAGCAGCCGCGGUAAUACGUAGGUGGCAAGCGUUAUCCGGAAUUAUUGGGCGUAAAGCGCGCGUAGGCGGUUUUUUAAGUCUGAUGUGAAAGCCCACGGCUCAACCGUGGAGGGUCAUUGGAAACUGGAAAACUUGAGUGCAGAAGAGGAAAGUGGAAUUCCAUGUGUAGCGGUGAAAUGCGCAGAGAUAUGGAGGAACACCAGUGGCGAAGGCGACUUUCUGGUCUGUAACUGACGCUGAUGUGCGAAAGCGUGGGGAUCAAACAGGAUUAGAUACCCUGGUAGUCCACGCCGUAAACGAUGAGUGCUAAGUGUUAGGGGGUUUCCGCCCCUUAGUGCUGCAGCUAACGCAUUAAGCACUCCGCCUGGGGAGUACGACCGCAAGGUUGAAACUCAAAGGAAUUGACGGGGACCCGCACAAGCGGUGGAGCAUGUGGUUUAAUUCGAAGCAACGCGAAGAACCUUACCAAAUCUUGACAUCCUCUGACCCCUCUAGAGAUAGAGUUUUCCCCUUCGGGGGACAGAGUGACAGGUGGUGCAUGGUUGUCGUCAGCUCGUGUCGUGAGAUGUUGGGUUAAGUCCCGCAACGAGCGCAACCCUUAAGCUUAGUUGCCAUCAUUAAGUUGGGCACUCUAAGUUGACUGCCGGUGACAAACCGGAGGAAGGUGGGGAUGACGUCAAAUCAUCAUGCCCCUUAUGAUUUGGGCUACACACGUGC